This 478-nucleotide ribosomal RNA is filed under the name uncultured Glomus. Its description in RNAcentral is "SSU rRNA". It matches the Rfam family "Eukaryotic small subunit ribosomal RNA", at positions 569 to 1051 of the family's 1831-position model. Lineage: Eukaryota; Fungi; Glomeromycota; Glomeromycetes; Glomerales; Glomeraceae. The record is from RNAcentral.
AGCAGCCGCGGUAAUUCCAGCUCCAAUAGCGUAUAUUAAAGUUGUUGCAGUUAAAAAGCUCGUAGUUGAAUUUCGGGAUCAAUAUGUCGGUCGUGCCUUCGGUACGUACUGGUAUCAUUGGUCUCUCCUUUCUGACGAACCAUGAUGUCAUUAAUUUGGUGUUAUGGGGAGUUAGGACUGUUACUUUGAAAAAUUAGAGUGUUUAAAGCAGGCUUUAGCUUGAAUACAUUAGCAUGGAAUAAUGAAAUAGGACGUUCGAACCUAUUUUGUUGGUUUCUAGGAUUCAACGUAAUGAUUAAUAGGGAUAGUUGGGGGCAUUAGUAUUCAAUUGUCAGAGGUGAAAUUCUUGGAUUUAUUGAAGACUAACUACUGCGAAAGCAUUUGCCAAGGAUGUUUUCAUUAAUCAAGAACGAAAGUUAGGGGAUCGAAGACGAUCAGAUACCGUCGUAGUCUUAACCAUAAACUAUGCCGACUAGGG